RNAcentral lists this long non-coding RNA (236 nucleotides) under Physcomitrium patens. Its description in RNAcentral is "long non-coding RNA (PPAT_LNC011929)". The record is from RNAcentral. Lineage: Eukaryota; Viridiplantae; Streptophyta; Bryopsida; Funariales; Funariaceae.
ACAGAGAACCCCGAACAACCCAAACUGUUAAACUUCAAUACCCCUUUGUACUUACGAUCUUGUAUCCACUGACUGUCAUGUUAGAUUAAUCCAAUAAAUUUCAUUCACUCCGCAUACUCAAUCCUAUAGACACCCUUUUAAUCCUUCAAUCACAGACGUAACUCGAUUUUAUAAAACAGUCAAGAGUAUUCAAACCCACUUCAUUUAAAAAUCCCUAUUCACCAUUACAACACUGA